This 240-nucleotide unclassified non-coding RNA is filed under the name soil metagenome. RNAcentral describes it as "partial contains 5.8S ribosomal RNA, internal transcribed spacer 2, and large subunit ribosomal RNA". The record is from RNAcentral.
AACGCACGAGACCUGCGGACCUGCGGAAGGAUCAUUAAAGAGUUGCAAGACUCCCAAACCAUUGUGAACGUUACCCACACCGUUGCUUCGGCGGGCGGCCCGGGCCCUGCCCGGCGCCCCCCGGCCCCUCGCGGGCGCCCGCCGGAGGUAAACCAAACUCUUGAAUUGUAUGGCCUCUCUGAGUCUUCUGUACUGAAUAAGUCAAAACUUUUAACAACGGAUCUCUAGAUCGGAAGAGCA